This 592-nucleotide ribosomal RNA is filed under the name uncultured fungus. RNAcentral describes it as "eukaryotic LSU rRNA". It matches the Rfam family "Eukaryotic large subunit ribosomal RNA", at positions 23 to 641 of the family's 3401-position model. The record is from RNAcentral. Lineage: Eukaryota; Fungi.
ACCCGCUGAACUUAAGCAUAUCAAUAAGCGGAGGAAAAGAAACCAACAGGGAUUGCCCUAGUAACGGCGAGUGAAGCGGCAACAGCUCAAAUUUGAAAUCUGGCGCAAGCCCGAGUUGUAAUUUGUAGAGGAUGCUUCUGGGCAGCGGCCGGUCUAAGUUCCUUGGAACAGGACGUCAUAGAGGGUGAGAAUCCCGUAUGCGACCGGUUGGCACCCGUCACGUAGCUCCUUCGACGAGUCGAGUUGUUUGGGAAUGCAGCUCUAAAUGGGUGGUAAAUUCCAUCUAAAGCUAAAUACCGGCCAGAGACCGAUAGCGCACAAGUAGAGUGAUCGAAAGAUGAAAAGCACUUUGGAAAGAGAGUUAAAAAGCACGUGAAAUUGUUGAAAGGGAAGCGCAUGCAACCAGACUUGUCGGCGGUGUUCCGCCGGUCUUCUGACCGGUCUACUCGCCGCCGGCAGGCCAGCAUCGUGUGGGUGCGCCGGAUAAAGGCGCCGGGAAUGUGGCCCCUCGGGGUGUUAUAGCCCGGCGUAUAAUACCGCGCCGCCCGCCGCGAGGCCCGCGCUUCGGCUAGGAUGCUGGCGUAAUGGUUGU